AAACAUCGCCUCCCGCAAAACCACAAUGUAUAGGAGGUCUUGCCUGCCCGGUGACUACAAGUUAAACGGCCGCGGUAUUUUGACCGUGCAAAGGUAGCGCAAUCACUUGUCUUUUAAAUGAAGACCUGUAUGAAUGGUGGAACGAGGGCUUAACUGUCUCCCCCUUCAAGUCAAUGAAAUUGAUCUCCCCGUGCAGAAGCGGGCAUAACUAUACAAGACGAGAAGACCCUUUGGAGCUUGAGAUGCAAGACCAACUAUGUCAAAAACCCUUAAAAGGACUAAACUAAAUAGCAACUGGUCCUCAUCUUCGGUUGGGGCGACCACGGGAGACAACAAAGCUCCCACGUGGACUGGGGAAACCCCUAAAACUAAGAGAGACAUCUCUAAGCCGCAGAAUAUCUGACCAAAAAGAUCCGGCUUCUUGCCGAUCAACGGACCAAGUUACCCUAGGGAUAACAGCGCAAUCCCCUUUCAGAGUUCAUAUCGACGAGGGGGUUUACGACCUCGAUGUUGGAUCAGGACAUCCUAAUGGUGCAGCCGCUAUUAAGGGUUCGUUUGUUCAACGAUUAAAGUCCUACGUGAUCUG
Molecule: ribosomal RNA, 586 nt
Filed under: Trichomycterus sp. Mazaruni River, plain
Lineage: Eukaryota; Metazoa; Chordata; Actinopteri; Siluriformes; Trichomycteridae
Description: partial large subunit ribosomal RNA
Rfam family: Bacterial large subunit ribosomal RNA
Source: RNAcentral